Non-coding RNA from Acanthosepion pharaonis, 112 nucleotides. NCBI's taxonomy places the organism in Eukaryota, Metazoa, Mollusca, Cephalopoda, Sepiida, Sepiidae. The record is from the annotation of a GenBank genome assembly.
UACGGCCGCAUCACGUUGAAACACCGGUUCCCGUACGAUCACCGAAGUUAAGCAACGUCGAGCCUGAUCAAUAGUUAGGUAGGUGACCGCUUUGGAAUAGCAGGUGCUGUAA